RNAcentral lists this ribosomal RNA (292 nucleotides) under uncultured bacterium. RNAcentral's name for it is "partial 16S ribosomal RNA". It matches the Rfam family "Bacterial small subunit ribosomal RNA", at positions 505 to 796 of the family's 1533-position model. The record is from RNAcentral.
GUGUCAGCAGCCGCGGUAAUACGUAGGAUCCGAGCGUUGUCCGGAUUUACUGGGUGUAAAGGGUGCGCAGGCGGACUGGUAAGUCAGUGGUGAAAUCUCGUCGCUUAACGACGAAACUGCCUUUGAUACUAUCAGUCUUGAGUCCGGUAGAGAUCUGUGGAAUUCCGAGUGUAGCAGUGAAAUGUGUAGAUAUUCGGAAGAACACCAGUGGCGAAGGCAGCAGAUUGGGCCGGUACUGACGCUCAUGCACGAAAGCGUGGGGAUCAAACAGGAUUAGAUACCCUAGUAGUCC